GACGAACGCUGGCGGCGUGCUUAACACAUGCAAGUCGAACGGAAAGGCCCCCACCUUGGUGGGGGUGCUCGAGUGGCGAACGGGUGAGUAACACGUGGGUGAUCUGCCCUGUACUUCGGGAUAAGCUUGGGAAACUGGGUCUAAUACCGGAUAGGACCAUGGUUUAGUGUCUCAUGGUGGAAAAAUUAUUGUUUUGGUGCAGGAUGAGCUCGCGGCCUAUCAGCUUGUUGGUGGGGUAAUGGCCUACCAAGGCGUCGACGGGUAGCCGGCCUGAGAGGGUGGACGGCCACAUUGUGACUGAGAUACGGCCCAGACUCCUACGGGAGGCAGCAGUGGGGAAUAUUGCACAAUGGGCGCAAGCCUGAUGCAGCGACGCCGCGUGGGGGAUGACGGCCUUCGGGUUGUAAACUCCUUUCGUUAGGGACGAAGCCACACCUUUUUUGGGUGUGGUGACGGUACCUUUGUUAAGAAGCACCGGCUAACUACGUG
Molecule: ribosomal RNA, 489 nt
Filed under: uncultured bacterium
Lineage: Bacteria
Description: partial 16S ribosomal RNA
Rfam family: Bacterial small subunit ribosomal RNA
Source: RNAcentral